GAUCAUGGCUCAGGAUGAACGCUAGCUACAGGCUUAACACAUGCAAGUCGAGGGGAAACGACAUCGGAAGCUUGCUUUUGAUGGGCGUCGACCGGCGCACUGGUGAGUAACGCGUAUCCAACCUGCCUACCACUUGGGGAUAACCUUGCGAAAGUAAGACUAAUACCCAAUGACAUCCCACGAAGACAUCUGAAUGGGAUUAAAGAUUUAUCGGUGAUGGAUGGGGAUGCGU
RNAcentral lists this ribosomal RNA (232 nucleotides) under uncultured bacterium. RNAcentral's name for it is "partial 16S ribosomal RNA". It matches the Rfam family "Bacterial small subunit ribosomal RNA", at positions 15 to 236 of the family's 1533-position model. The record is from RNAcentral.